UGGGGAAUAUUGCGCAAUGGGGGAAACCCUGACGCAGCAACGCCGCGUGAGUGAUGAAGGUCUUCGGAUCGUAAAGCUCUGUCGGCAGGAAAGAAGGGCCGGUUGGCUAAUAUCCAACUUGUCUGACGGUACCUGCAAAGGAAGCACCGGCUAACUCUGUGCCAGCAGCCGCGGUAAUACAGAGGGUGCAAGCGUUGUUCGGAAUCAUUGGGCGUAAAGGGCGCGUAGGCGGUCUCGUAAGUCGAAUGUGAAAGCCCAGGGCUCAACCUUGGAAGUGCAUCCGAAACUGCGAGACUCGAAUCUCGGAGAGGGUGGUGGAAUUCCCAGUGUAGAGGUGAAAUUCGUAGAUAUUGGGAGGAACACCGGUGGCGAAGGCGACCACCUGGACGAAGAUUGACGCUGAGGCGCGAAAGCGUGGGGAGCAAACAG
RNAcentral lists this ribosomal RNA (429 nucleotides) under uncultured bacterium. RNAcentral describes it as "bacterial SSU rRNA". It matches the Rfam family "Bacterial small subunit ribosomal RNA", at positions 355 to 775 of the family's 1533-position model. The record is from RNAcentral.